AUAGCGUUAAAUUUGUCCUGAAAGCAAGUCAUUUUCAUAAUGAGAUUGUAAGUCUCUUAUUCCUCAUGGUAUUGUGUGAAAAAUAUUGUUUCCUUUCAUCUAUGAGAUCUAAUAGCAUACUUGUUGAUUUUUUCCAAGUUGGAGCCCUUUUCAUGGUGAUGUAAAGGUCCAUAUUUUCAUACUUAUGGGUGUAUAGUUGAG
RNAcentral lists this long non-coding RNA (201 nucleotides) under Lathyrus oleraceus (garden pea). Its description in RNAcentral is "Pisum sativum (pea) long non-coding RNA (PSAT_LNC022310)". The record is from RNAcentral. Lineage: Eukaryota; Viridiplantae; Streptophyta; Magnoliopsida; Fabales; Fabaceae.